This 777-nucleotide ribosomal RNA is filed under the name Bacillus amyloliquefaciens. Its description in RNAcentral is "bacterial SSU rRNA". It matches the Rfam family "Bacterial small subunit ribosomal RNA", at positions 56 to 816 of the family's 1533-position model. The record is from RNAcentral. Lineage: Bacteria; Bacillati; Bacillota; Bacilli; Caryophanales; Bacillaceae.
UGCAGUCGAGCGGACAGAUGGGAGCUUGCUCCCUGAUGUUAGCGGCGGACGGGUGAGUAACACGUGGGUAACCUGCCUGUAAGACUGGGAUAACUCCGGGAAACCGGGGCUAAUACCGGAUGGUUGUUUGAACCGCAUGGUUCAGACAUAAAAGGUGGCUUCGGCUACCACUUACAGAUGGACCCGCGGCGCAUUAGCUAGUUGGUGAGGUAACGGCUCACCAAGGCGACGAUGCGUAGCCGACCUGAGAGGGUGAUCGGCCACACUGGGACUGAGACACGGCCCAGACUCCUACGGGAGGCAGCAGUAGGGAAUCUUCCGCAAUGGACGAAAGUCUGACGGAGCAACGCCGCGUGAGUGAUGAAGGUUUUCGGAUCGUAAAGCUCUGUUGUUAGGGAAGAACAAGUGCCGUUCAAAUAGGGCGGCACCUUGACGGUACCUAACCAGAAAGCCACGGCUAACUACGUGCCAGCAGCCGCGGUAAUACGUAGGUGGCAAGCGUUGUCCGGAAUUAUUGGGCGUAAAGGGCUCGCAGGCGGUUUCUUAAGUCUGAUGUGAAAGCCCCCGGCUCAACCGGGGAGGGUCAUUGGAAACUGGGGAACUUGAGUGCAGAAGAGGAGAGUGGAAUUCCACGUGUAGCGGUGAAAUGCGUAGAGAUGUGGAGGAACACCAGUGGCGAAGGCGACUCUCUGGUCUGUAACUGACGCUGAGGAGCGAAAGCGUGGGGAGCGAACAGGAUUAGAUACCCUGGUAGUCCACGCCGUAAACGAUGAGUGC